Molecule: ribosomal RNA, 337 nt
Filed under: Escherichia coli
Lineage: Bacteria; Pseudomonadati; Pseudomonadota; Gammaproteobacteria; Enterobacterales; Enterobacteriaceae
Description: bacterial SSU rRNA
Rfam family: Bacterial small subunit ribosomal RNA
Source: RNAcentral
CUUUUACAAUGAAGAGUUUGAUCCUGGCUCAGGAUGAACGCUAGCUACAGGCUUAACACAUGCAAGUCGAGGGGCAGCAUUUCAGUUUGCUUGCAAACUGGAGAUGGCGACCGGCGCACGGGUGAGUAACACGUAUCCAACCUGCCGAUAACUCGGGGAUAGCCUUUCGAAAGAAAGAUUAAUACCCGAUGGCAUAAUUAGACCGCAUGGUCUUAUUAUUAAAGAAUUUCGGUUAUCGAUGGGGAUGCGUUCCAUUAGGCAGUUGGUGAGGUAACGGCUCACCAAACCUUCGAUGGAUAGGGGUUCUGAGAGGAAGGUCCCCCACAUUGGAACUGAG